AUUGAACGCUGGCGGCAUGCUUUACACAUGCAAGUCGAACGGUAACAGGCCGCAAGGUGCUGACGAGUGGCGAACGGGUGAGUAAUGCAUCGGAACGUGCCCAGUCGUGGGGGAUAACGCAGCGAAAGCUGCGCUAAUACCGCAUACGAUCUAUGGAUGAAAGCGGGGGACCUGUAAGGGCCUCGCGCGAUUGGAGCGGCCGAUGUCAGAUUAGGUAGUUGGUGGGGUAAAGGCUCACCAAGCCGACGAUCUGUAGCUGGUCUGAGAGGACGACCAGCCACACUGGGACUGAGACACGGCCCAGACUCCUACGGGAGGCAGCAGUGGGGAAUGUUGGACAAUGGGCGCAAGCCUGAUCCAGCAAUGCCGCGUGCAGGAAGAAGGCCUUCGGGUUGUAAACUGCUUUUGUACGGAACGAAACGGCUCUGGUUAAUACCUGGGGCUAAUGACGGUACCGUAAGAAUAAGCACCGGCUAACUACGUGCCAGCCGCCGCGGUAA
RNAcentral lists this ribosomal RNA (500 nucleotides) under uncultured bacterium. RNAcentral describes it as "partial 16S ribosomal RNA". It matches the Rfam family "Bacterial small subunit ribosomal RNA", at positions 29 to 523 of the family's 1533-position model. The record is from RNAcentral.